UUGUCCUUUUUCUCCCUCCACGCAAACCUCAGUCAACUCCUCUCCCUCCCUCUUGGUUGGGACUUGUAAUUGGAAAAAUCAAUGCCCACAGAAUAAUACCAGCGAUGAUCCUUCCGCAGGUUCACCUACGGAAA
RNAcentral lists this unclassified non-coding RNA (134 nucleotides) under uncultured fungus. RNAcentral's name for it is "sequence contains ITS1". Lineage: Eukaryota; Fungi. The record is from RNAcentral.